UCCUGGUUACCCAGGCAGUCUCGUUAGAGUUCCCACCCGAAGUGUUGGCAACUAACGAUAGGGGUUGCGCUCGUUGGGGGACUUAACCCUACACCUCACGGCACGAGCUGACGACAGCCAUGCAGCACCUGUGCUAGCGGCCCUUGCGGGAAGCGACAUCUCUGCCGCGGUCCACUAGCAUGUCAAACCUGGGUGAGGUUCUUCGUUUAGCAUCGAAUUAAACCACAUGCUCCACUGCUUGUGCGAGCCCCCGUCAAUUCUUUUGAGUUUCACCCUUGCGAGCGUACUUUUCAGGCGGCAUACUUAUCGCGUUAGCUUCGACACGACUGGGGUUGAGACCAAUCACGUCAAGUAUGCAUCGUUUAGGGCAAGGACUAC
This 378-nucleotide unclassified non-coding RNA is filed under the name uncultured Chlamydiales bacterium. RNAcentral's name for it is "contains 16S-23S intergenic spacer region". The record is from RNAcentral. Lineage: Bacteria; Pseudomonadati; Chlamydiota; Chlamydiia; Chlamydiales.